GAUGAACGCUGGCGGCGUGCUUAACACAUGCAAGUCGAACGGAAAGUCUCCUUCUUGCAGGGCUACUCUAGUUGCGAACUGGUGAGUAACACUUAGGUUAUCUGCCCUUCCCUUCGGGAUAAGCCUAUGAAACUUAGUCUAAUACCGGCUAGGACCACAUUUUUUUUGUUGUGCUGGCAUUUUUUUCGGUGUGGGAUGAGCUCGCGGCCUAUCAGCUUGUUGGUGGGGUACUGGCCUUCCAAGGCGUCGACGGGUAGCAGGCCUGAGAGGGUGUACGGCCAAACUGGGACUGAGAUAAGGCACAGACUACUAUGGGAGGCAGCAGUGGAGAAGAGAGUACAAGGGGAGCAAGCAUGAUGUAGCGAAGCAGCGCGGGGGAUGACGGCAAUGGGGUUGGAAACUAAUGUCGCUAGGGACGAAACGAAAGUGACGGUACCUGGAGAAGAAGCACCGGCUAACUACGUG
Molecule: ribosomal RNA, 465 nt
Filed under: uncultured bacterium
Lineage: Bacteria
Description: partial 16S ribosomal RNA
Rfam family: Bacterial small subunit ribosomal RNA
Source: RNAcentral